RNAcentral lists this ribosomal RNA (368 nucleotides) under uncultured bacterium. RNAcentral's name for it is "partial 16S ribosomal RNA". It matches the Rfam family "Bacterial small subunit ribosomal RNA", at positions 339 to 724 of the family's 1533-position model. The record is from RNAcentral.
CUACGGGGGGCAGCAGUAGGGAAUAUUGCUCAAUGGGGGAAACCCUGAAGCAGCAACGCCGCGUGAGUGAAGAAGUAAUUCGUUACGUAAAGCUCUAUCAGCAGGGAAGAAAAUGACGGUACCUGAGUAAGAAGCCCCGGCUAACUACGUGCCAGCAGCCGCGGUAAUACGUAGGGGGCAAGCGUUAUCCGGAUUUAUUGGGUGUAAAGGGAGCGUAGACGGUGCGCCAAGUCUGGAGUGAAAUGCCGCAGCUUAACUGCGGAACUGCUUUGGGAACUGGCGAACUAGAGUGCGGGGGGGGUAGGCGGAAGUGCGAGGGUAGGUGGGGAAUGCGUAGAGAGGAGGAGGAACGGCGAGGGCGAAGGCGG